RNAcentral lists this ribosomal RNA (459 nucleotides) under uncultured bacterium. Its description in RNAcentral is "partial 16S ribosomal RNA". It matches the Rfam family "Bacterial small subunit ribosomal RNA", at positions 338 to 795 of the family's 1533-position model. The record is from RNAcentral.
CCUACGGGUGGCAGCAGUGAGGAAUAUUGGUCAAUGGCCGCAGGGCUGAACCAGCCAAGUCGCGUGAGGGAUGACGGUCCUAUGGAUUGUAAACCUCUUUUGUCAGGGAGCAAAGGGUGCCACGUGUGGCGUUUUGCGAGUACAUGAAGAAAAAGCAUCGGCUAACCGCGUGCCCGCAGCCGCGGUAAUAUGGAGGAUGCGAGCGUUAGCCGGAUUUAUUGGGUGUAAAGGGUGGGCAGGGGGAAUGUCAAGUCAGCGGUAAAAUUUCGGGGCUAAAACCCGUCGUGCCGUUGAAACUGGCGGUCUUGAGUGAGCGAGAAGGAGGCGGAAUGCGGGGUGUAGCGGUGAAAUGCAUAGAGAUCACGAAGAACUCCGAUUGCGAAGGCAGCAUACCGGCGCUCAACUGACGCUCAUGCACGAAAGCGUGGGUAUCGAACAGGAUUAGAUACCCGAGUAGUC